RNAcentral lists this ribosomal RNA (432 nucleotides) under uncultured bacterium. RNAcentral's name for it is "bacterial SSU rRNA". It matches the Rfam family "Bacterial small subunit ribosomal RNA", at positions 29 to 507 of the family's 1533-position model. The record is from RNAcentral.
AACGAACGCUGGCGGCAGGCCUAACACAUGCAAGUCGAGCGAACCCUUCGGGGUUAGCGGCGGACGGGUGAGUAACGCGUGGGAACGUGCCCUUUGCUACGGAAUAGCCCCGGGAAACUGGGAGUAAUACCGUAUGUGCCCUUCGGGGGAAAGAUUUAUCGGCAAAGGAUCGGCCCGCGUUGGAUUAGGUAGUUGGUGGGGUAAUGGCCUACCAAGCCGACGAUCCAUAGCUGGUUUGAGAGGAUGAUCAGCCACACUGGGACUGAGACACGGCCCAGACUCCUACGGGAGGCAGCAGUGGGGAAUCUUAGACAAUGGGCGCAAGCCUGAUCUAGCCAUGCCGCGUGAUCGAUGAAGGCCUUAGGGUUGUAAAGAUCUUUCAGUGGGGAAGAUAAUGACUGUACCCACAGAAGAAGCCCGGCUAACUCCGUG